This is a long non-coding RNA of Chiroxiphia lanceolata (lance-tailed manakin), 2684 nucleotides long. RefSeq lists it as uncharacterized. The record is from RefSeq and is a predicted model, not a curated record. The transcript is spliced from 3 exons. NCBI's taxonomy places the organism in Eukaryota, Metazoa, Chordata, Aves, Passeriformes, Pipridae.
CUUGAUUCCAGCAUUUGAAGCCAUAUCAGUCAUCCUUCGCCCACUUGAAAUUCAACUGGAAUUACACCAGGUUGUCCAGGGUUCCAGAGUGGAACCUGAAGUGAGGUUUGAACUUCCCAUGGAUUACUAGAAUCUGUGCAUCCAUGAAAAGACCAUGUGUAAAUCUGAUUUCACUGUAGAUAUUUAAAUUAUAAGAUGGAGAACAAUUGCUGUUACUUUUAAAAGAUGGAAGAUUUAGACAUAUCUUACUCUCAGUUCUUUAGAAGAGGGAUUCUCUCUAACUUAGGUGAGGACUUAUCCACUUGAUGUGUUUUUCAUUUUCUAGUGGAAUUUCAGGAGUGAGUGCAAUACAAAUAAUAACAUGUUUCUUUAAAACGAACAAGAGAUAUGAGCAUAAAUCUGAAUUCCCUAAAAGAAAUUAGCCACGGCGUAGAGAACAGGCACAUACAAGACAGACAUGCCUUGUGCUCUGUGAUAGGUGUCCUGUAAAAGUCAGCUUAAGAAAUACAGAUACUGGCCAAUGUGCAUGUGAAAAAUUUUACUUUACACUAUCCUGUAGCAAAAAAAGGAUCAUUUUCCUUUUGUUCACAGGUCCAUGAAAAAUGGUUGAUAUGACAGGACACUAUUAACAAUUAAGGCUGGUUUUCAGUGUUUGUGUUUGCAGCAGGACUAAGAAAAGACACCAAGGACGGGGAGAUAAUGGAUGGUGCUCGAUGGGAUGGUUUAGUUAAGUUAAAUCCAGUGCUGGUCCGUGGCUUUCCCUACUGGAAUCAGGCAGGUCAUCAUGGAGUGGCCCAAGGCUGCAUUUUUCCUUUGCCUUAAGAGGAAAGCAAAGGAUCAAGGAGCCUUAGGGAACGUGGCAGAGAGCACUGCUGGAGGCAGGAAUGACACAGGGAGCACCAGGAGGUGCAGGUCAGCCUUGUUCAGAUCAUCUACUUCAGUCUGUGGUCUGGGAGUACUUUGAAAAUUGGCAGGAGAGUAUGGAAAAUAUAAAAGGAAAAGCCUUGAAACAGACCACAAUUCUUUCAUAUGUGUAUUACACUGGAAUUAUUUAUAUAUAUAUAUAUGUAUAUGUAUAUACACUGGGAGGACUCUGUUCUUUACAUCCUUAAAUUACAGACCUUCAUAACACGUAAUGUCACCCUUCUGGAAAAAUGAGGGUGAUAGAAUGGGACACAAACACCAGCAACUACUUAAUAGCACAUGCAAAUAUUGGCAUGCUUGUUAUGCCUUAUUUUUGUUGUUGUUAUUACUUUUGUUGUUGUUAUUACUUUAUUUUUGGAGCUGUGUGUUGGCACGCCAGCAUUUCCUUACAUUUGAGCUCCACUGUGCACUUUGAAGGCCUUAAUUUAACGAGCAGACGUGGUGCAGUCAGAGGGAGAAGUGUGUAAGUCACACAGUGUGGGUAUUUACACUUCACAUGCUGAGCUUUGUAGUCAUCCUUUGGGAGGAAAGAGUUACAGUUAUUUUAUCUCUGUCUUUCUCAUUAGCUCCAGAGGGAAGUCUUGGAAAGAAGGCAAUGGAUUUACGGCUCAGUUUGGGUUGGUUGUCCUUCUGCAGAACGUCUCAGGUAGCCCCGGCCCAAGUGGGAGUAAAUAGUCCUGCAGGGAAGGCCUAGGGCACCGUCAGGAUGAACACAGGAGAUUUCACCACCCUCCUAAACAUUCUCAUCUUUGUGGCCAGGCACGUGAAUCAGUAAAAUCCUUCAGUCGUUAGAGGAAGGAGAACAUCAAGUUUUGCAGGAGAACAACAGAUCCAAGAUUGGUGCUUUGACAUGUUCACAAGGUGGCCUCUGCAUCUGCCUUUCCAAUGUAUUUACUUACCAGUCUACCCAGGGAUUUUGUGAAGGAUUUGGCAUCUUAAACAGCUUUUUAUUCCAACAACAUUUCAAUUCACCCUUAAGACUCUCAGUUAAGACAAACUGAACUGGGGAUCCCUGGGUGGAAUUUGCAUGGAAGUUAUGGGGUUUGGGUAUGGGGUUUAUAGCCUGAUAUUGUACUAUCUCCCAUCUCUUAUUUUCCACUCAUUUUGCAUGUAAAACUUUUACUGCUAUCAGCAGAGUUUAGGGGGCCACUAAAACUGAGACUAUGCCCCCAGGACCCAACAUGAUGUAAGGGACCCCCUUUACUUAGAACCAUUUGGCUGCACUAAAUCUUGGUGUUGAAUGUUUGGGUUAGUUCCCCCAUAAACCUCGUCUGCUGGAUUUAUAUAUUUGGCUCCUUUUAUUUUGACUCUGGUGGCUAACUUUGCAAUGGGCUUUGAAUGAAUGCAAUUCCACUCACACCAGCAGCACAGUGGGUAUUUCUGGUUGUGUAAAUACAGGGAUGUAUAAAUACAGUCUGGGAGGAUGCUGAGGGGACCCACUUGGUGGGGUUUCGGUGAGAUCCGAGACUGCUCAGCACCUCCAGGGAGAAAUUCCAACCCUUCCAGCCUCCCCACAGUGUCUGUGGUCCCUUUCUAUAGCCUUUUGUCCCAAUCACAGCACACAGUGCAUUUGCUUAUCACCUUUUUAAUCACAAACUCUGAAAUAUUUAUUUUCCUGUGUUCUAAAAGCACACUUCUAUAUGCAACAAAGAAUUAUGUCAACUAGGAGGAUGAUGGAGAUGUAUUUUUCCCUCUACAGCUCUGUGAAACUUAGCUUUUUCUCACAUGGGUGUGGGGUUUUUAAAUAAAGCAGUAUUUCA